UAUUGAGGAUCCAUUUUCGAACUG
RNAcentral lists this small RNA (24 nucleotides) under Arabidopsis thaliana (thale cress). The record is from RNAcentral. Lineage: Eukaryota; Viridiplantae; Streptophyta; Magnoliopsida; Brassicales; Brassicaceae.